UUUAUGGAGAGUUUGAUCCUGGCUCAGGAUGAACGCUGGCGGCGUGCCUAAUACAUGCAAGUCGAGCGAACGGACGAGAAGCUUGCUUCUCUGAUGUUAGCGGCGGACGGGUGAGUAACACGUGGAUAACCUACCUAUAAGACUGGGAUAACUUCGGGAAACCGGAGCUAAUACCGGAUAAUAUUUUGAACCGCAUGGUUCAAAAGUGAAAGACGGUCUUGCUGUCACUUAUAGAUGGAUCCGCGCUGCAUUAGCUAGUUGGUAAGGUAACGGCUUACCAAGGCAACGAUGCAUAGCCGACCUGAGAGGGUGAUCGGCCACACUGGAACUGAGACACGGUCCAGACUCCUACGGGAGGCAGCAGUAGGGAAUCUUCCGCAAUGGGCGAAAGCCUGACGGAGCAACGCCGCGUGAGUGAUGAAGGUCUUCGGAUCGUAAAACUCUGUUAUUAGGGAAGAACAUAUGUGUAAGUAACUGUGCACAUCUUGACGGUACCUAAUCAGAAAGCCACGGCUAACUACGUGCCAGCAGCCGCGGUAAUACGUAGGUGGCAAGCGUUAUCCGGAAUUAUUGGGCGUAAAGCGCGCGUAGGCGGUUUUAAGUCUGAUGUGAAAGCCCACGGCUCAACCGUGGAGGGUCAUUGGAAACUGGAAAACUUGAGUGCAGAAGAGGAAAGUGGAAUUCCAUGUGUAGCGGUGAAAUGCGCAGAGAUAUGGAGGAACACCAGUGGCGAAGGCGACUUUCUGGUCUGUAACUGACGCUGAUGUGCGAAAGCGUGGGGAUCAAACAGGAUUAGAUACCCUGGUAGUCCACGCCGUAAACGAUGAGUGCUAAGUGUUAGGGGGUUUCCGCCCCUUAGUGCUGCAGCUAACGCAUUAAGCACUCCGCCUGGGGAAUACGACCGCAAGGUUGAAACUCAAAGGAAUUGACGGGGACCCGCACAAGCGGUGGAGCAUGUGGUUUAAUUCGAAGCAACGCGAAGAACCUUACCAAAUCUUGACAUCCUUUGACAACUCUAGAGAUAGAGCCUUCCCCUUCGGGGGACAAAGUGACAGGUGGUGCAUGGUUGUCGUCAGCUCGUGUCGUGAGAUGUUGGGUUAAGUCCCGCAACGAGCGCAACCCUUAAGCUUAGUUGCCAUCAUUAAGUUGGGCACUCUAAGUUGACUGCCGGUGACAAACCGGAGGAAGGUGGGGAUGACGUCAAAUCAUCAUGCCCCUUAUGAUUUGGGCUACACACGUGCUACAAUGGACAAUACAAAGGGCAGCGAAACCGCGAGGUCAAGCAAAUCCCAUAAAGUUGUUCUCAGUUCGGAUUGUAGUCUGCAACUCGACUACAUGAAGCUGGAAUCGCUAGUAAUCGUAGAUCAGCAUGCUACGGUGAAUACGUUCCCGGGUCUUGUACACACCGCCCGUCACACCACGAGAGUUUGUAACACCCGAAGCCGGUGGAGUAACCUUUUAGGAGCUAGCCGUCGAAGGUGGGACAAAUGAUUGGGGUGAAGUCGUAACAAGGUAGCCGUAUCGGAAGGUGCGGCUGGAUCACCUCCUUUCU
Molecule: ribosomal RNA, 1552 nt
Filed under: Staphylococcus aureus
Lineage: Bacteria; Bacillati; Bacillota; Bacilli; Caryophanales; Staphylococcaceae
Description: 16S ribosomal RNA
Rfam family: Bacterial small subunit ribosomal RNA
Source: RNAcentral